GAUGAACGCUGGCGGCGUGCCUAAUACAUGCAAGUCGAACGAGUUCUCGUUGAUGAUCGGUGCUUGCACCGAGAUUCAACAUGGAACGAGUGGCGGACGGGUGAGUAACACGUGGGUAACCUGCCCUUAAGUGGGGGAUAACAUUUGGAAACAGAUGCUAAUACCGCAUAGAUCCAAGAACCGCAUGGUUCUUGGCUGAAAGAUGGCGUAAGCUAUCGCUUUUGGAUGGACCCGCGGCGUAUUAGCUAGUUGGUGAGGUAAUGGCUCACCAAGGCGAUGAUACGUAGCCGAACUGAGAGGUUGAUCGGCCACAUUGGGACUGAGACACGGCCCAAACUCCUACGGGAGGCAGCAGUAGGGAAUCUUCCACAAUGGACGCAAGUCUGAUGGAGCAACGCCGCGUGAGUGAAGAAGGCUUUCGGGUCGUAAAACUCUGUUGUUGGAGAAGAAUGGUCGGCAGAGUAACUGUUGUCGGCGUGACGGUAUCCAACCAGAAAGCCACGGCUAACUACGUGCCAGCAGCCGCGGUAAUACGUAGGUGGCAAGCGUUAUCCGGAUUUAUUGGGCGUAAAGCGAGCGCAGGCGGUUUUUUAAGUCUGAUGUGAAAGCCCUCGGCUUAACCGAGGAAGCGCAUCGGAAACUGGGAAACUUGAGUGCAGAAGAGGACAGUGGAACUCCUGGUGUAGCGGUGAAAUGCGUAGAUUAUAUGGAAGAACACCAGUGGCGAAGGCGGCUGUCUGGUCUGUAACUGACGCUGAGGCUCGAAAGCAUGGGUAGCGAACAGGAUUAGAUACCCUGGUAGUCCAUGCCGUAAACGAUGAAUGGUAGGUGUUGGAGGGUUUCCGCCCUUCAGUGCCGCAGCUAACGCAUUAAGCAUUCCGCCUGGGGAGUACGACCGCAAGGUUGAAACUCAAAGGAAUUGACGGGGGCCCGCACAAGCGGUGGAGCAUGUGGUUUAAUUCGAAGCAACGCGAAGAACCUUACCAGGUCUUGACAUCUUUUGAUCACCUGAGAGAUCAGGUUUCCCCUUCGGGGGCAAAAUGACAGGUGGUGCAUGGUUGUCGUCAGCUCGUGUCGUGAGAUGUUGGGUUAAGUCCCGCAACGAGCGCAACCCUUAUGACUAGUUGCCAGCAUUUAGUUGGGCACUCUAGUAAGACUGCCGGUGACAAACCGGAGGAAGGUGGGGAUGACGUCAAAUCAUCAUGCCCCUUAUGACCUGGGCUACACACGUGCUACAAUGGAUGGUACAACGAGUUGCGAGACCGCGAGGUCAAGCUAAUCUCUUAAAGCCAUUCUCAGUUCGGACUGUAGGCUGCAACUCGCCUACACGAAGUCGGAAUCGCUAGUAAUCGCGGAUCAGCACGCCGCGGUGAAUACGUUCCCGGGCCUUGUACACACCGCCCGUCACACCAUGAGAGUUUGUAACACCCGAAGCCGGUGGCGUAACCCUUUUAGGGAGCGAGCCGUCUAAGGUGGGACAAAUGAUUAGGGUG
Molecule: ribosomal RNA, 1493 nt
Filed under: Lacticaseibacillus paracasei
Lineage: Bacteria; Bacillati; Bacillota; Bacilli; Lactobacillales; Lactobacillaceae
Description: bacterial SSU rRNA
Rfam family: Bacterial small subunit ribosomal RNA
Source: RNAcentral